This 1347-nucleotide long non-coding RNA is filed under the name Gossypium barbadense (sea-island cotton). Its description in RNAcentral is "long non-coding RNA (GBAR_LNC008688)". Lineage: Eukaryota; Viridiplantae; Streptophyta; Magnoliopsida; Malvales; Malvaceae. The record is from RNAcentral.
UUGUUUUUGGUUUUUAAUUUCUUCUGGAAAUUCUUUUAUUUUUACUAUAAUAUGAUCUUGUAGUUUAAGACCAUCAGCCGAUAAAUUUAAACCUAAAAAUUCUAUUUCUGUUUUUUCUAAUUCUAUUUUCUUAGGGCUCAAAAUAAUUCCAUGUUUUAUGAAUUCUUGGGAGAUGAUAUUUAAAUGUUUUCUAUGUUUUUCCAGUGUUUCUGAAAAUAUUAAUAUAUCGUCUAUAUAAACUAUACAAAAUUUUUUAUAUUUAUUAAAUAUAGAAUCCAUCCAUCUUUGGAAGAUUUGAGGUGCAUUACAUAAUCCAAAUGGCAUUACUCUCCAUUGAUAAUGACCAUUAGGUGCACUAAAGGCUGUUAAUGGUUUAGAUUCAUCAGUUAGCAUUAUUUGCCAAAAUCCUGAUUUACAAUCAAAUUUACUGAAAUAUUUUGCUUGUUUAGCUUGAUUUAUUAAAACAUCUUUCCGUGGAAUAAAGUAUCCAUCAAAAAUAGUAUUUUGGUUUAGUCUUUUAUAAUUAAUUACCAUUCUAGCUUUUCCUCUUUUUAUUUCAGCAUGGUUUCUUACCAUAAAAGCUGGACUUGAGUGUGGACUAUUAGUUUUUUCUAUUAAUCCUUUUUCCAAUAAUUCUUUGAUUUGUAUAUCAAAUUCAUCUAUAUCUUGUUUAGUAUAGAUCAUAGGUUUGAUUCUAAUUAUUUUAUUAGGAUUCUUUAAUUUUAUUUCACAAUAUCUUGGACUAUUUUCCCAUAAUUUUAAUGGUUCUUCACUAAAAUUAUUUUCUAGAAUUUUAAACAACCAAUGAUUUGUUUCUAGUUGUUUAAUUUGUUCUUUUCUUAUUGGUCUAAAUCCUUUAUCACAUACAAAUUUAUGGUUUUCUAUUAAAGGUAUUUCUACAGAAGUUUUUUCUGUUGAUAAUAUUACUAAAUUUCUAUCUAUAGAAAACGGUAGAUGAUGAUAUAUAAAAUUAUUUCCUAAUAAUAUGUCUCCAUGCAUUUCAGGAAAACACAAUAUUUUAGGAAUUACAAAUCUUACAUUAUUUAUGUAAAUUGGUAUAUUUCUAGCCUUAAAUUGAAUUAUGGUUUCUUUACCAUCAAUUCCUAUAGCUCUAAUUGGAUUUUUCAUUAAUUCCCAUUUUUCUACAGGAAUGGCAUUUUCUCUACAACUACUUGUGGUAGCUCCAGUAUCUAAUAAAGCAUGCAAAGAAUAUGUUUUAUAGUCUCUAAAUUGAAGUGUAAUUUCUAUAUAUGUAUAAUAUUUCCUAGGUUGGAAAUUUGAAAAUGUAAUAAUAUCAUUUUUUCCUAUUUUCAUUUGUUGAAUAAUAGUAGUAGUUUGUAUUUCUUC